This is a non-coding RNA of Canis lupus familiaris (dog), 107 nucleotides long. The record is from Rfam. Lineage: Eukaryota; Metazoa; Chordata; Mammalia; Carnivora; Canidae.
GUGCUUGCUUCGGCAGCACAUAUACUAAAAUUGAACGAUACAGAGAAGAUUAAGCAUGGCCCCUGCGCAAGGAUGACAUGUAAAAAUAUGAUUCCUAAACUAGUUUC